Molecule: unclassified non-coding RNA, 200 nt
Filed under: Cryptocoryneum sp.
Lineage: Eukaryota; Fungi; Ascomycota; Dothideomycetes; Pleosporales
Description: partial internal transcribed spacer 2
Source: RNAcentral
UUAAGUUCAGCGGGUAUCCCUACCUGAUCCGAGGUCAAACUUGGGGGUUGUCUUGUGGACGCCAUGUUGUAGACCGCGAGGCGCUAUUUGCUGCGCUCGAAGCUGUAAACAGGCUGCCAAUGCUUUUGAGGCGAGUCCGCGCCGAGGCGGGACAAACGCCCAACACCAAGCAGUGCUUGAGGGUUUAGAUGACGCUCGAA